RNAcentral lists this ribosomal RNA (331 nucleotides) under uncultured Acidobacteriota bacterium. RNAcentral's name for it is "bacterial SSU rRNA". It matches the Rfam family "Bacterial small subunit ribosomal RNA", at positions 20 to 357 of the family's 1533-position model. Lineage: Bacteria; Pseudomonadati; Acidobacteriota. The record is from RNAcentral.
UGGCUCAGAACGAACGCUGGCGGCGUGCUUUACACAUGCAAGUCGAGCGAGGCGGCCCGCAAGGGUCAGUCGAGCGGCGAACGGGUGAGUAACGCGUGGAUGACCUGCCCUUUAGUGGGGAACAACCAGGGGAAACUCUGGCUAAUACCGCAUAAGACCGAGAGGUGAAAGGGGGCUCGCAAGGGCUCUCGCUGAAGGAGGGGUCCGCGUCCGAUUAGCUAGUUGGUAGGGUAAUGGCCUACCAGGAAAACGAUCGGUAGCCGGCCUGAGAGGGUGAUCGGCCACAUCGUCCCUGAGACACGGACCAGACUCUAUCGGAUCGUAGCAGUGG